Molecule: transfer RNA, 70 nt
Filed under: human gut metagenome
Also listed under: 1 other name
Rfam family: tRNA
About the family: Transfer RNA (tRNA) molecules are approximately 80 nucleotides in length.
Source: RNAcentral
CGCCAUAGCUCAGCUGGAUAGAGCAGGAGACUUCUAAGCUCAAGGUCGUAGGUUCGAAUCCUACUGGCGC